GAUGAACGCUGGCGGCGUGCCUAAUACAUGCAAGUCGAGCGAACGGACGAGAAGCUUGCUUCUCUGAUGUUAGCGGCGGACGGGUGAGUAACACGUGGAUAACCUACCUAUAAGACUGGGAUAACUUCGGGAAACCGGAGCUAACACCGGAUAAUAUUUUGAACCGCAUGGUUCAAAAGUGAAAGACGGUCUUGCUGUCACUUAUAGAUGGAUCCGCGCUGCAUUAGCUAGUUGGUAAGGUAACGGCUUACCAAGGCAACGAUGCAUAGCCGACCUGAGAGGAUGAUCGGCCACACUGGAACUGAGACACGGUCCAGACUCCUACGGGAGGCAGCAGUGGGGAAUCUUCGGCAAUGGGCGAAAGCCUGACGGAGCAACGCCGCGUGAGUGAUGAAGGUCUUCGGAUCGUAAAACUCUGUUAUUAGGGAAGAACAUAUGUGUAAGUAACUGUGCACAUCUUGACGGUACCUAAUCAGAAAGCCACGGCUAACUACGUG
Molecule: ribosomal RNA, 497 nt
Filed under: uncultured bacterium
Lineage: Bacteria
Description: partial 16S ribosomal RNA
Rfam family: Bacterial small subunit ribosomal RNA
Source: RNAcentral